Long non-coding RNA from Manis pentadactyla (Chinese pangolin), 570 nucleotides. RefSeq lists it as uncharacterized. The transcript has 3 exons. The record is from RefSeq and is a predicted model, not a curated record. Lineage: Eukaryota; Metazoa; Chordata; Mammalia; Pholidota; Manidae.
UAGAGGGGCUGAGUCAGAGCCCAACAGAGGCUUUUUAUUAAAUGGAAUUUACCCUGAUAAAUCAUUCCAUAUGAGAUGUCCAGAUAAGCAAGCUUGCCUCACACAAGUAUCUUUGAUUCCAGAACCCAGAAAACAACUGCUUGAGAUGCACUUACUAUGCACCCAGGGUGACCAGAAGCAGAUUUACCAUAAAGCUAACGAACUGAACCCCAGGCUGCUCGCUUCACAGCCAGAAGUGGAGGCCCAGGCAGGAGCCCCAGCAACACAUUCACAGCCAUUUGCUUUUGUAAACUUGGCGGUGGCACUUACACUGAUAACUGGCCAAGAUCAAAGUACUCGCCUUCCAAGAAUAGACCAUCCAAGAUCAUGCUUCCCAAAAUGCAGAAUAAAAAGGAUGUUAGAGAGGGCAGAGGCAAGGUGAGAAGAGAAACAACUCAUCUCCCAAACUGGCUAAAUUUCCUGAAGUAGGUGGGUUCAGUGAUACAGUGAACCCGGAACAUUGGAAAUUCUUCGUGUGUUUGCUGUUGCUUAAAAGAGUUAAAUAAAAUAAAAAUAUAAGGUUCUAGACUA